This 497-nucleotide ribosomal RNA is filed under the name uncultured bacterium. RNAcentral describes it as "partial 16S ribosomal RNA". It matches the Rfam family "Bacterial small subunit ribosomal RNA", at positions 28 to 507 of the family's 1533-position model. The record is from RNAcentral.
GACGAACGCUGGCGGCGUGCCUAAUACAUGCAAGUUGAGCGCUGAAGGUUGGUACUUGUACCAACUGCAUGAGCAGCGAACGGGUGAGUAACGCGUGGGGAAUCUGCCUUUGAGCGGGGGACAACAUUUGGAAACGAAUGCUAAUACCGCAUAAAAACUUUAAACACAAGUUUUAAGUUUGAAAGAUGCAAUUGCAUCACUCAAAGAUGAUCCCGCGUUGUAUUAGCUAGUUGGUGAGGUAAAGGCUCACCAAGGCGAUGAUACAUAGCCGACCUGAGAGGGUGAUCGGCCACAUUGGGACUGAGACACGGCCCAAACUCCUACGGGAGGCAGCAGUAGGGAAUCUUCGGCAAUGGACGAAAGUCUGACCGAGCAACGCCGCGUGAGUGAAGAAGGUUUUCGGAUCGUAAAACUCUGUUGGUAGAGAAGAACGUUGGUGAGAGUGGAAAGCUCAUCAAGUGACGGUAACUACCCAGAAAGGGACGGCUAACUACGUG